This is a microRNA precursor of Brassica oleracea var. oleracea, 125 nucleotides long. It matches the Rfam family "MIR9563 microRNA precursor family". NCBI's taxonomy places the organism in Eukaryota, Viridiplantae, Streptophyta, Magnoliopsida, Brassicales, Brassicaceae. The record is from Rfam.
GGAAUAUAAGAACCCGUCUUUUAACUUUUAACUAAAAAAACUAAGAACCGGCUCUUAAGUAAGAGUUUUAAGAACCGGUUCUUAACUUUUUUAGUUAAAAGUUAAGAGACGGGUUCUUAUAUUCC